RNAcentral lists this small nucleolar RNA (233 nucleotides) under Catagonus wagneri (Chacoan peccary). RNAcentral describes it as "Small nucleolar RNA U3 (ENSCWAG00000017474.1)". It matches the Rfam family "Small nucleolar RNA U3". From Rfam's summary of the family: Small nucleolar RNAs (snoRNAs) are involved in the processing and modification of rRNA in the nucleolus. There are two main classes of snoRNAs: the box C/D class, and the box H/ACA class. Lineage: Eukaryota; Metazoa; Chordata; Mammalia; Artiodactyla; Tayassuidae. The record is from Rfam by way of RNAcentral.
GGGACUAUACUUUCAGGGGUCAUUUGUGUGGUUUGUGAUUAACGAAGUUUCUUUGUAGAGCAUCUGUAAACAAGGAGGAGGGGGCAGUGUAUUUUGCUCAGCUUGAAUCUGCCACUGUGGCAUCGUUACUGCUCUUGAUAAUCGUGCGGUUUUCUUUCGUCGGGGGAGAGUAAGAAAGGUGCGGUUUUCUUUCGUCGGGGAGAGUAAGAAAGAGAGAGCGCCGUCUGAGUGCU